Molecule: long non-coding RNA, 741 nt
Organism: Mytilus californianus (California mussel)
Lineage: Eukaryota; Metazoa; Mollusca; Bivalvia; Mytilida; Mytilidae
Exons: 3
Source: RefSeq, a predicted model, not a curated record
AUCCAAUCUAAUUAAAAUUAAAUCUCCGCACUUGCUCCUCGUUGUUUAUAUGUCGCGCGUGGGAGAUCUAACAACAGCCGCUUGAGGGUCAUGUCUAGGGUCAAAUUUGGUGAACUUUGACCGACCAAUCAGCGUGCAGAAAAUCAAUUUCGAUUAACCAAUCAGCGACGGGCUUGUAUACCAUUAUCGGAUCGUUAAAAAACAUGGAUGCGCCCAGUUUGGACAACGUUUUGACAAAAGUUUUGCCAAAAUUUGGUAUAAAUGAUAUAAAGAAGGAGCAAAAGGAAAUUUUAGAGUAUUUAGUUAACAAGAAGAAGUGCGUGGCUGUACUACCGACUGGUUUUGGCAAGUCACUGCCGUUUCAACUGUACCUUCCAGUUGUCCGGGAGGUUAUUGAAAACAGUUCUGACUGAAAAGUUUUAGUCUGUUGUCCCUUAGUAGCUCUGAUGCAGGACCAGGUGGAAAAACUCUCGCACAUUGGAAAUAUUACUGCUGCAUACAAAGGAUCAUCUUCCCCAGAGUGACGAUCAAAUCAAAGAGGGGUUGAUAGAUGUCAUUUUUGCAUCUCCAGAAACAUUGGUUGGUGAUCCCUAUUGGAGAACUUGUUUAAAGAAGUUGAACAUUAAGUUGGUUGUAAUUGAUGAGUUUCACACAAUAGCAAUUUGGGGCCAAGAUGAAGGAGACAGAAAAAAGGCUUUUCGAAAAUGGUUUUCAGAUGUAGGUGAACUAAGAUCCCUCUUU